RNAcentral lists this long non-coding RNA (1022 nucleotides) under Salmo salar (Atlantic salmon). RNAcentral's name for it is "lncRNA (ENSSSAG00000085102.1)". The record is from RNAcentral. Lineage: Eukaryota; Metazoa; Chordata; Actinopteri; Salmoniformes; Salmonidae.
CUGUACAUGGUUUUACCCGGCUUUAACACAGUUGCAGCAUACUGUAUUUUUCAGUGACAGCACCGUUGUCAAGGCCUUCUUCCGUUACGCACAGGGGUUCGGAGCAUGCUAGGUAGCUAAUUAGCAAAGGUGGUCCCUCUGGGAAUGCGGUCCAAACACUUAAAAGACACACCCUAUCCCCUCAACCCUCAAAUUAAGUGGACACUUCUGAUGACGUAUCAUGGCGUCUGAUGAGUUGAACUUGCAGGGCGAGGGAAGAAUUCAUUGAUUUUAAAUGGACCACUAUUGCCCGGAGCAUGCUAGGCUAUCACUCGUUCAUACCAAGGAUAUGUUUUCUGUCAUCAUGGAACUGUUAUGUGUGCCUUAUAUGCGCUACAGUCAAUUAUGAUUGCAUUUCAUAUCUUGGCUAGAAGACAACGCCUCCCUCCGCAGACAUCGAAUGUUAGCCAUCCUAGUAUAUCAGGCCCCGGAGUGAACAUAAUUGUACACUCGCAAACUCGAUCAAAAAUGAGGGCUGAGGGGCUUACGUUGUCAACUUUCCUUGAUUGGCUAAUCAUUUGGACCAACGACAAAGAUGGCCGCGGGGAUUCCCUCAAGUGCAUAAGGCGAGGUAGCCUACUGUUUGGAAGCAGUUGGGGUCAACUGUUACAUCGCAUGUUGUCCUCCCUCCAUCCAACCAGAUGACAAAGCAGUCUCUUAUCUACUCCAACACGCUGUACUACCGCUCCAGCAGUUCUGUCGUUAUUGUUCACACAGCAGUUGGUGUCCUUAAAAAUACUGAUUAAGGCCAGAGGCUAAAAUGACCUUUUUGCAUGUUCUUAUCUAUUUUGAGAUUUUUUAGUAUGUUGGUCCAUUAAUAUUAUUAUUAAAAAAUAAAAAGUUAAAAUGAUGAUAAAUGUUAAUUGUCAUUAGUUUAUCAUGCCACCAUCAUCAAAAUGUCAUAAAUUAUAACCACUUUUAAAUGGACAUACAUCUGUAAUUUCAAAGCUCACUACAAUGAAUCACACAUCAUUUACAAUCCC